This 132-nucleotide non-coding RNA is filed under the name Enterococcus rivorum. RNAcentral's name for it is "Enterococcus sp. HAMBI 3055 Enterococcus sRNA 68 (Lacto-3 RNA)". It matches the Rfam family "Enterococcus sRNA 68 (Lacto-3 RNA)". From Rfam's summary of the family: Name 'Ref' stands for RNA in E. faecalis. The record is from Rfam by way of RNAcentral. Lineage: Bacteria; Bacillati; Bacillota; Bacilli; Lactobacillales; Enterococcaceae.
UGCGACGGGUUGACUCAAUCAGAUAACUUCGGUUAUUCCGCUCAAGCGGCUGGUGAUUGGUUAAUUAGCAGAGGCAGAGUGAUCUUCACUAACUACCGGAUGUAGUUGUCGGACAAAGACUUUUGUGGAGAA